Molecule: ribosomal RNA, 171 nt
Filed under: uncultured bacterium
Lineage: Bacteria
Description: partial 16S ribosomal RNA
Rfam family: Bacterial small subunit ribosomal RNA
Source: RNAcentral
CACGCCCUAAACGAUGCGAACUGGAUGUUGGGUGCAACUUGGCACUCAGUAUCGAAGCUAACGCGUUAAGUUCGCCGCCUGGGGANCAACGCGAAGAACCUUACCUGGUCUUGACAUGUCCGGAAUCCUGCAGAGAUGCGGGAGUGCCUUCGGGAAUCGGAACACAGGUGC